RNAcentral lists this ribosomal RNA (491 nucleotides) under uncultured bacterium. Its description in RNAcentral is "partial 16S ribosomal RNA". It matches the Rfam family "Bacterial small subunit ribosomal RNA", at positions 29 to 506 of the family's 1533-position model. The record is from RNAcentral.
AGUGAACGCUGGCGGUAGGCCUAGCACAUGCAAGUCGAACGGCAGCACAGUAAGAGCUUGCUCUUACGGGUGGCGAGUGGCGGACGGGUGAUGAAUACAUCGGAAUCUACUUUUUCGUGGGGGAUAACGUAGGGAAACUUACGCUAAUACCGCAUACGACCUACGGGUGAAAGCAGGGGAUCUUCGGACCUUGCGCGAUUGAAUGAGCCGAUGUCGGAUUAGCUAGUUGGCGGGGUAAAGGCCCACCAAGGCGACGAUCCGUAGCUGGUCUGAGAGGAUGAUCAGCCACACUGGAACUGAGACACGGUCCAGACUCCUACGGGAGGCAGCAGUGGGGAAUAUUGGACAAUGGGCGCAAGCCUGAUCCAGCCAUACCGCGUGGGUGAAGAAGGCCUUCGGGUUGUAAAGCCCUUUUGUUGGGAAAGAAAAGCAGCAGGUUAAUACCCCGCUGUUCUGACGGUACCCAAAGAAUAAGCACCGGCUAACUUCGU